Molecule: transfer RNA, 57 nt
Filed under: Cavia porcellus (domestic guinea pig)
Lineage: Eukaryota; Metazoa; Chordata; Mammalia; Rodentia; Caviidae
Source: Rfam by way of RNAcentral
UAGCUCUGUGGUAGAGCACUUGUCUAAGAAAUAUGAGACCCUGGGUUGGAAUUCCAG